AUGCAGGCUAAAGGCUUUUCCAGUAACUGCCCAGCAAGACGAACACCCACAGUAUCAUAAAAUAGGAAAGAGCUUGUACGGUGACAAAGUCCGGUUUAAAGUCAUCUCCAAGCAGUAUACCUCAUUUAAAUCAGGCAUACUUCGUCAAGCUUUGCAUACAAUGUUGGUCAUGCAGAAAAUAUGCCGGUUUCUGUCUCUGCUUUCAGCUCUCUCUUGAUGAUUGUUGCAGUCAUAUUGAGCUCUGUGAUAGUUUCUGCAACUAAAAGGAUGAGUCAUUUCCUCGAAACCCAAGACUUGUGCAUUCGAUGUAAGCCAUCAGGUAAAAACACAAAGAACUAUGAAUGCAAAAUUUGUGAACAUAACUCCACAGUAGUGGGUUUCAUUAUUCAUGCCCCUUUUUUUUGGGCUAAUGAAACCCUGUCUCACCUAUUUGGUAUCUAUUGAUCCUUUUUAGCCAUUCUACUCUACCAAAGGCCUUUAUCUUUUGUUAAAUCAUAGUCAUGUUUGCCUUUUUUGCAGUCUCAAUCUACAUUCCUUUUGUCCUUCUGACUGUCAUUGUAGGACCUUCAAACCAUCUCCACCAUGAUGGCAUCUUACCAUAAAAUGGUGCUACCUAUAUCUUCAUAUGUAUAGAUUUAUAAUUCAGUCCAUUCUUGCCUUGCCACUCAUCUAUCUCAGCAUCCUAUUAUCAAUUAUUUCCAAUUCUUUCUCACAUACCAACACUUUCUUUUCCUUUCAUUUUUGCCUUUUCCUUUUGGUGGGAAUGGGGUUCCACAGUAUUUGCUUUUCCUUUAAUGUUUGUAGAGAUUGGCCACUGGUCAAUCUCCUACAAGCAUUUUCAAGUUCUGCUCAUUUCCUUUUAAUGAAAAGAUGCCAAUUGCUUAUUCAUCAUUUUUUUGAGGAAAGUUUCUAAAGGGUCUUUAGGUUUUAGUAUUUCAAGAAUAACUCACACUUGGAGUUCAAUUCAAACACAAAAAGGAAAAAAGAAAACCUGUGGACUUGUUGACCCCGGUUUCUUUCUUCAAGCAUAAAAAAUUCACGCAAUGUGUUUGAUGCUGUAUUGAUCCCAUUGUCUUCCUGGUGAUGGUGAUAUAGUACCACUAUGUAAAAAGGGGGAAGUGGUGGCCAACCUACUUAUAUUUUAAUUAAUUCAAAGUGGGUUAUUCCAG
This is a long non-coding RNA of Vitis vinifera (wine grape), 1169 nucleotides long. RefSeq lists it as uncharacterized. Lineage: Eukaryota; Viridiplantae; Streptophyta; Magnoliopsida; Vitales; Vitaceae. The transcript has 3 exons. The record is from RefSeq and is a predicted model, not a curated record.